GGAUUGUGGCUCAGUGGUAGAGCGCUCGCUUAGCACGCAUAGGUCCCUGGGUUCUAUCCUCAGCACCA
RNAcentral lists this transfer RNA (68 nucleotides) under Marmota monax (woodchuck). RNAcentral describes it as "tRNA.Ala". Lineage: Eukaryota; Metazoa; Chordata; Mammalia; Rodentia; Sciuridae. The record is from RNAcentral.